This 445-nucleotide ribosomal RNA is filed under the name Parmelia homogenes. Its description in RNAcentral is "LSU rRNA". The stretch from base 93 to 445 matches the Rfam family "Bacterial large subunit ribosomal RNA", at positions 853 to 1251 of the family's 2925-position model. The record is from RNAcentral. Lineage: Eukaryota; Fungi; Ascomycota; Lecanoromycetes; Lecanorales; Parmeliaceae.
GAUUGUGAUCUCAUGCAACUAGUAUAUAUUGUACUUAUAAAUACGUAUAUAAAUAAAGUACUUUUUGUGGACAUUGGGGGGUCGUGAAGACUUUAUCAGCGAGUUUUUGGUCUCGGAAGGACUAGAUAUGAAUAUUGAAUAAUCAGACAUAGUGCGAAAAGGUUGUCUGCCUAAAGGGAAACAGCCCAGAACAAGAGUUAAUAAGGUUCCAAAAUUAUUGUUAAGUGAAAUUAAGGCAGUAUUUAUUCCAAACAGCCAGGCAAUAGGCUUAGAAGCGGCCAUUUUCUGAAGACCUCGUAACAGAGCACUGGUUUUAUUUAUAAUACGGNUAAAAGCACCGAUCAUUUAACGGAUCUAAACAAUAUACCGAGACCUUGUCUAAAUAUAUUAAUGUUUACACAUAUUACAUUGCGUAUUUAGGGUAGCAGAACGUUGGCGAAGUCCG